UACAGAGGGUGCAAGCGUUAAUCGGAUUUACUGGGCGUAAAGCGUGCGUAGGCGGUUCGUUAAGUCGAUUGUGAAAGCCCUGGGCUCAACCUAGGAAUUGCAGUCGAUACUGGCGAGCUAGAGAACGGUAGAGGGAGGCGGAACUCCAGGUGUAGCAGUGAAAUGCGUAGAUAUCUGGAAGAACACCGAUGGCGAAGGCAACCUCCUGGGCCUGUUCUGACGCUGAGGCACGAAAGCGUGGGGAG
RNAcentral lists this ribosomal RNA (245 nucleotides) under uncultured bacterium. Its description in RNAcentral is "partial 16S ribosomal RNA". It matches the Rfam family "Bacterial small subunit ribosomal RNA", at positions 524 to 768 of the family's 1533-position model. The record is from RNAcentral.